RNAcentral lists this unclassified non-coding RNA (903 nucleotides) under Hevea brasiliensis (rubber tree). Lineage: Eukaryota; Viridiplantae; Streptophyta; Magnoliopsida; Malpighiales; Euphorbiaceae. The record is from RNAcentral.
GUUUUGUGUGUUUACUUUGUUUUCUUGUAGUUUAUACACUUCUGUGGUGUAUAACACACUCAUCCUUUGUGUUAAUUAUACUAAUUGCAAGGGCUGAAUUACAUUCAAUGCCAUAUGAACCUUCUUGCACUAUCAUCACCACAUUAGCUUUCGUGCCCUUAUUCUCAAUCUUAGCCUUUCCAUUUCUUUGUGAACAGAACUUACAAGUGUGCGCUUCCUUGUAAGAAUGAAAAAAUUGCAAAUUUAUAUGUCUAUAUUUCGAUCUAGACUUUGUUUUUUACCCAAACCCAUUUUGUUUACUCCUACCCAUAGCAACAACCAAAAUAAUAUUUUGCUUUUCCCCAUACGAUUACCUAGACACAUUUCUUUGUAGUUCUUUAGAUUGCAAAGCAUCUUUAACAUGAUUAACUGACAUUGUAUCUCUACUGAACAAUAUCAUUCUUAAAAGUUUUCUAUGAAGGAGGUAAAACUUCUGUCAAGAUAAGAGCUUGAUUCUCCUCCUCUAGCUUAAUGUCAAUUCUGUGUAAAUCAAGGAUAAUUUUACUGAAUUCAUCCUUAAGGUCUUUUAUGGGCAUAGUCUUUGUCAUUCAAAUCAGAAAGCAAUUUAUAUGGUUCUAGUGCCUUUUCACUUCCUUGUUGAACAAGGAGAGUACUUAUCUUCACCUUCUAGAGAUUAAAGUCAUUAGACCCAUUGAACUUCUCAACUUUGAAUUUUGUUUUCAAUAUUCCAAAAUUCCAGCCAAGAAAACCAGCUCUAAUUACCAUUUUUUAAGGAUCUUAAUCUUAUUAUGGCAAAGAGAAGAUAAAACUAGAGAAAAUAGAGAAAUUAAGCAGAAGCACAAACACAAAAUUUUAAAUGGUUCGGUCAAUAGAUAUACAUCCACGAGAGAGAGAGAGAGAGAG